UGCGUUUCUUUUUCUUUUUGCGUCUGUGUAUUUUUUUUUCUGGAAGAAUCACAUUAUUAAGAUUUUGAGUUGGGGGCUACAUGAUGGAGUUAUUAGGAUUAUUUUUAGAUUUAGGAUAGGGGUUAUAGAUUUAUUUGAUAAGAGAAUAUAAGUAAUGUUUUUUCAAAUUAAUUUUUAUGAACUUAUUAAUUUAUUAUAAAUUUUAAAUAAGAUUAUAAGGGUAUAGUAGUACAAUCAUAUGCUAAAGCUCUGCCGAAUUAGAGAG
This 265-nucleotide long non-coding RNA is filed under the name Salvia miltiorrhiza (redroot sage). Its description in RNAcentral is "long non-coding RNA (SMIL_LNC002272)". The record is from RNAcentral. Lineage: Eukaryota; Viridiplantae; Streptophyta; Magnoliopsida; Lamiales; Lamiaceae.